GCCUUCGUGGUGUAGUGGUCAGCACGCUCGAUCCGUAACCGAGAGGUCCGUGGUUCGAUUCCCGACGAAGGCG
Stegodyphus mimosarum is the source of this 73-nucleotide non-coding RNA. The record is from Rfam. NCBI's taxonomy places the organism in Eukaryota, Metazoa, Arthropoda, Arachnida, Araneae, Eresidae.